RNAcentral lists this ribosomal RNA (292 nucleotides) under uncultured bacterium. Its description in RNAcentral is "partial 16S ribosomal RNA". It matches the Rfam family "Bacterial small subunit ribosomal RNA", at positions 505 to 796 of the family's 1533-position model. The record is from RNAcentral.
GUGCCAGCCGCCGCGGUAAUACGUAGGGUCCGAGCGUUAAUCGGAAUUAUUGGGCGUAAAGAGUGCGCAGGCGGAUAUACAAGAUAGAUGUGAAAUCCUUGAGCUUAACUUGAGAACUGCAUAUAUGACUGUAAAUCUAGAGUGUGUCAGAGGGGGGUAGAAUUCCAUGUGUAGCAGUGAAAUGCGUAGAGAUGUGGAGGAAUACCGAUGGCGAAGGCAGCCCCCUGGGACGAUACUGACGCUGAGGCACGAAAGCGUGGGGAGCAAACAGGAUUAGAAACCCCCGUAGUCC